UCUGGUUCUGCGACUACAAGUACAAUGAAGAGAAUACAGUCUCAUUUGUCACCAUGAACAAGGUAGGGGGAUUCCUGCAGCGAAUGGAUUUGGCACGCAAGUAUGCAUUUGGGAAGAUGCUCGUGAUCGGCUCUGAGCCCCCAUUCAAAGUGAAGGGAUUAUGGCUUUUCCGUGGACAAGAGAUCCCCCAAUUUGUCCUCGAUGAGUGCUAUGACAUGGAACUCUACGAGUGGAAGAAAGUUGACAUCUCAGACGAAGCCCAAAAGGAACGUGUCAGUCAGAUGAUUGAAGACUGCGAGCCAUUCGAGGGAGAGCCUCUUUUGGAUGCCAAGUGCUUCA
Molecule: long non-coding RNA, 339 nt
Filed under: Theobroma cacao (cacao)
Lineage: Eukaryota; Viridiplantae; Streptophyta; Magnoliopsida; Malvales; Malvaceae
Description: long non-coding RNA (TCAC_LNC000672)
Source: RNAcentral